This 593-nucleotide long non-coding RNA is filed under the name Cricetulus griseus (Chinese hamster). RNAcentral's name for it is "lncRNA (ENSCGRG00000025899.1)". The record is from RNAcentral. Lineage: Eukaryota; Metazoa; Chordata; Mammalia; Rodentia; Cricetidae.
AGUGUAAAUUCCCUUUUAACUCUUUUUUUCCAGAUUAAAUUAUCUUCACUGCUGUUUCUGUUACAUCUUAAUUGAAUCCAGAUCCUCAUACACACACUGCUGCUAUACAAACCUUGCCAUGCCCAAGGUUCAGGAUGAGAAUGAACAAAAAUACCAGGAACUUUCAGCACCCACAUCUUCUUCCAGCCCUGAAGCUCUCCAUGUGUAUGUACCAUCAGUACAAGACACCUGUACCAACAGCCCUUCCUAGAAGCCUCCCAUCAGGCAGCAGCAGCAGCAGCUCCUUAGUGCCUCAAACUCAGAAUGCGAAGGUCCUUUUUCCUUCAGGGGGAGUUGCACAAGAGCCAAGAACAUAGAUAUAUAAUGAAGGUUGGAUUUUAUUCCUCCAGCUCUUAAAAUUCACAUCUCUCCAAAGAUGGUGACUUUGAGUCUUCUUUUCCUGUUUUUUUUUCUCUAUUGUGUUAAAAAUAGAAAUUGUCUCAUCAAGUGUUUUAUCCUGAGUCUGGUCUCUUCUCAUUUGUUUUUAUAAACAUGAUUGAGUUUUUGAAAGGAAAUUUGGAUUUAUAAAUAUGUGACUUUAAGCUAUGUUUGAG